This 253-nucleotide ribosomal RNA is filed under the name uncultured bacterium. Its description in RNAcentral is "partial 16S ribosomal RNA". It matches the Rfam family "Bacterial small subunit ribosomal RNA", at positions 524 to 776 of the family's 1533-position model. The record is from RNAcentral.
UACGGAGGAUCCAAGCGUUAUCCGGAUUUAUUGGGUUUAAAGGGUGCGUAGGCGGAUAAGUAAGUCAGUGGUGAAGGCCUGCAGCUUAACUGUAGAAUUGCCAUUGAUACUGCUUGUCUUGAGGACAGUUGAGGUGGGCGGAAUAUGACAUGUAGCGGUGAAAUGCUUAGAUAUGUCAUAGAACACCGAUUGCGAAGGCAGCUCGCUAAACUGUAUCUGACGCUGAGGCACGAAAGCGUGGGGAUCAAACAGG